Molecule: long non-coding RNA, 574 nt
Filed under: Dromaius novaehollandiae (emu)
Lineage: Eukaryota; Metazoa; Chordata; Aves; Casuariiformes; Dromaiidae
Description: lncRNA (ENSDNVG00000017617.1)
Source: RNAcentral
AUUAGAUUAAGCUGCAUUUUUGGGCUUCUAUAACACGAAACCAACUUUGUUUUCCAGCAUACAAUACUGCAUGAAUUUAGUCUCUAAUUCCUGUUGGCAUUUAUUUUAAUUAAAAACACUGAAGUUACUAACUUUUGAGAACUGCCUGUUGCACAUGUGUGGUAACUUUUGAGAUAUUUCUUAGUAGCUCUAGCUGGAUGCUUUAGUUGAGAUAUCUUGUUUCGUCCUAGGUAAGGCUGCUGGGUGUUGGCAUUGCAAGGGGUCCAAUUUAAAGACCUCUUUCCCAGUGAGAAGAUGUUGAGUCAAAAACUUCUCUGCCCACCUAAGCCCAGGACUCUUGGGAGAGGACGUUCCUGCAGCUCUGACUAAGCCUCCCRGCGCGACCUGCUUACCGGGGAUGCUCCCAGCCUGCGGCACAAGCGGGAAGUCAGAUGAGGCUGCGGGGUUUCACUCCUAUGAGAACUCGCAACAAGUAGAAGCUGAGAUCCUACAGCCACAAGCCUCUGGAAGCUGGGUCUCUGAGAAACCGUUGCUUAAAUGUGGCAGAGGACAAAAAUCACCAAAGGGAACUUAG